Molecule: ribosomal RNA, 508 nt
Filed under: uncultured bacterium
Lineage: Bacteria
Description: partial 16S ribosomal RNA
Rfam family: Bacterial small subunit ribosomal RNA
Source: RNAcentral
GAUGAACGCUAGCUACAGGCUUAACACAUGCAAGUCGAGGGGAAACGAUAUUGGAAGCUUGCUUCCGAUAGGCGUCGACCGGCGCACGGGUGAGUAACGCGUAUCCAACCUGCCCACCACUUGGGGAUAACCUUGCGAAAGUAAGACUAAUACCCAAUGAUAUCUCAAGAAGACAUCUGAAUGAGAUUAAAGAUUUAUCGGUGAUGGAUGGGGAUGCGUCGGAUUAGCUUGUUGGCGGGGUAACGGCCCACCAAGGCGACGAUCAGUAGGGGUUCUGAGAGGAAGGUCCCCCACAUUGGAACUGAGACACGGUCCAAACUCCUACGGGAGGCAGCAGUGAGGAAUAUUGGGCAAUGGGCGAGAGCCUGGACCAGCCAAGUAGCGUGCAGGAUGACGGCCCUAUGGGUUGUAAACUGCUUUUAUAAGGGAAUAAAGUGAGCCUCGUGAGGCUUUUUGCAUGUACCUUAUGAAUAAGGACCGGCUAAUUCCGUGCCAGCAGCCGCGGUAA